CGCGUACUAGAGGUUUUUGCCUCAGUCUGUACAUUUUGAAAAAAAUAAUUACAGAACCAAAAGGAGCCCUCGUCAUUUGGUUUGGAAAUAAAAAUAAACCCAGUUAGGAAGAAAGUUUAAGUACGGUCUGUUUUGGAGUUCUAAUUCAGGUCUCCGAGAGUUAAAGUCAGAAUGCAGCAAUGCCCAGGCAAGUGGCCGUCUGUCCCUGCCCUCUCUGAACUUGAGAAUCUCUAACUGAAUGGAUGGACACAAGUAGCAUUUUGUACAGUGAUAAUGGAAAAUUAAAUACGACUUUUAAAAACUGCUCACAUUAUAAAGUGAUCUAUUAGCAUUAUACGACUUCAGCACUUAAAGUGACUGAUUCUAAUUGCACGAUUUGGCCCAUGGCAAGCAUUAAAGAGCUGCAGAAUCUUGCGGGUAUUUUAUCUCUUUGGGGAUAUUUUAAAGUGAAUUUUCUUUGGAAUAAAGCUUUGUUCCUGCCACACAAAAGAUUGUGGUGGAAGAAAAUCUCUUAGUUCUAAUAGAACCAGAGAUAAUUAUAGUUUCUUCCUCUUUGAUUCAUGAAUCAAUAAGGCAAAUAUUAAAAACAUUCUUGCAUUUUCCCUCCCUUUUCUUUAUGGAGUAAAACUCUGUCUUUAUAGCUUGGGGCUGUUAUCCCAAAGAGGUAAAGAUGGUUGCUUCGUGUGUAAUGAGCUUUUCUAGCCAUCAGAGAGGUGUUCUUUCUCUGCACCUGCUUAUCGUACCAUGGCCUUCUGAAUCUUUUCUGGGCAAGCCCAUGGGUUGCUCAGAUGACAUCAUAGUGCCAUACCUGAGGCUGAACUUGAUUUAAACAGGUUAUCACAAACCUAUAGGGAUGUCUAAGCUGGUGCUCUUCAUAGAUGAAAACCCUAUUAAAGGAUUUUCAGUUUUCAGAAAAAAAAAGAAUACAGGGGAAUGUCAUUCAUUUUUUAAUUUCACUUUAUGUUUAUGACAUCGAUAGGCUUUUUCAUGACUUUCAUCAUUAUGGACUCCAGGAAGCUUAUUAAUCAAAUAGUAUUGGAAAUCACAGCUCUUUAUGCUGAGGAAGUUCUUGUGGAACUUCCAGUUCAAGCAGUUUAAGAUAAACUGCAAUUUUACCUUAAUCUAUGUACAUAUGGAUUUCUGACUGGUGGUUCUUAGAUCUCCCAAUAGUAGAAAAAUUGCCUGCUAUGCUUCAGAUUUGAAGUUAUGACCGCCAUUGUUAUCCUGUCACUGACAGUGGGCUCUUGAACAUGUAAUUUGAAAACUGCAGGAACACUGUUGGAGUGUACACACUGACGAUAUUUACUUAAAACAUCUUUUUUCUAAAACUGACAUUUUUUGAAAAGGACAGUGCUAAAGAGAAGGAAGUUUAAAGGCACUCUGUCUUCCUGUGAGUUUUUCACUAACAAUUCCCUCUAGCCUGUAAUUGCUCUCUAUCUUCCAAAACCUAGGAUCCGCAGAAUAGACAGAGAUACUUAUUACUGACUUGAAUUAGGAUAAAAGGAAAAUAGAAGGCCAUAGCCAUCAGCAUUUUGUUUAUGAAAAUAUCAUUUUGAGGAUAUGCUUGAAUCUGGCAAAAGUAAUGCACCUCAUUCCUCUCCCAGAAUAUUUUAAGAGCCAAUGCGGCUGGAGUUCCCAUCGUGGCUCAGUGGUUAACGAAUCUGACUAGGAACCAUGAGGUUGCAGGUUCGACCCCUGGCCUUGCUCAGUGGGUUAAGGAUCUGGUGUUGCUGUGAGCUGUGGUGUAGGUUGCAGACACGGCUCAGAUCCCACAUUGCUGUGGCUGUGGCGUAGGCCGGUGGCUACAGCUCUGAUUCGACCCCUAGCCUGGAAACCUCCAUAUGACUCAGGAGUGGCCCAAGAAAUGGCAAAAAAGACAAAAAAAAAGAACCAAUGUGGCUGGACCAAAGGAACAGUGUCCAGAAGUAGGGCAUUAUCUUUUUCAUAUGCCAAUGUGGUGUGUGCAGCAUCAUUUAACCAUUACAUUUUUCUCAGCUAUUCCAGAAAUAGAUAUGAAAAUUACAAGUAUAAAGGCAAAAAUAUAUAAAGAUGGAUAAAAGCAAAAUAAUUAAAACGUGUUUUUUCAGCCAUUAUAGUAUUAUUUUAAAACUGUUUUAAACUCACAAGAAGUUGUAAAAAGACUUCAGAGACAUCCCCUGUUCAAUUUUUCCAAAGAUAACAUCUUAUGUUACCACAGUACCUUGUCAACAUUAGGAAACUGAUUCAAUAUUCUUAACCCAGGUAUAGAAACUUAUUUGGACUUCAGCAGCUUUUACAUAUAUUUUUUUGGAUGUGUAUUAAAAUAUAGAAAUUCAUUAACUGCCGGUGUUAAGGGAACAUCUUUCAUCAAUGAAUACUGAUUGUGUAAGGUUCUCAGAUGAUGUGGUUUUAUACAUCCUGUGGCUGACAAAAGAGAAGGUGGGGGAGUUCCCUUCGUGGCGCAGUGGAAACGAAUCUGACUAGUGUCCAUGAGGAUGCAGGUUCGAUCCCUGUCCUCCAACAGCGGGUUAAGGGUCUGGCAUUGCUGUGAACUGUGAACCUUGCAGACGGGGCUCGGAUCUGGAUUGCUGUGGCAUUGGCAUAGGCCAAUGGCUGCAGCUUGAUUUGACCUCUAGCUUGGGAACCUCCAUGUGCCAUGGGUGCGGCACUAAAAAGACAAUAAAAAAAAAAGAGAGAGAGAGCGAGAGAAGGUGGAGUUGUUUACAUUAAUGAAGAUUUUUUGUUGGCUUUUUAGGGCCACACCUGCAGCAUAUGGAGGUUCCCAGGCUAGGGGUCCAAUCGGAGUUAUAGCUGCCGGCCACAGCCACAGCAAUGCGGGAUCCGAGCCAUAACUGUUGACCUACACCACAGCUCAUGGUAACACCGAAUCCUUAACUCACUGAGCAAGGCCAGGGAUUGAACCCGAAAUCUCAUGGUUCCUAGUUGGAUUCGUUUCUGUUGCACCGUGAUGGGAACCCUUUUUUUUUUUUUUUUUGCCUUGAAGAUCCUUUAUAUGAAUUGCUUUGUCCCUACCUUAAUAAUUGAACAAUUAAUCCUAUAUCCAGUGCCAACUGAAGAUACAAAGAUGAUGCUAUUGCUGUCAAAGAACUCGCAAAGGGAAAUUGAAAUAAAAAUCAACUAUGACAACACUGUGAUGUAGACCAGAGCACAAAUGAAACAAACCAACAUUACUAUGUACCUCCAAGUGUCCAGCACUGCACCAGGCAUUAGUGAUUAAGUGAUGACUAAGAUACAUGCUCUCCUGCUCUAUGGAUCUUAUUGCUGCAUGGAGGAGACAGGCCCUUAAGAAACACUGACAGCAAAGUGCUCUAACAAGGGGGUUCAGAGCAGAUAGGUCCUGACCAGGUCAAAGGGUGCAGGACAGUGACUCAGGAGCACGUCAUGUACCCACAGUGAGUAUUCCAAGAUGUUGAGAGUGACUGCUUAUGGGAUCUUUGGACCAGCUCCUAUUCUAUUUCAUUCAGAGUCUGGGUAGCAUCUCUAGCUCUGCUGCAGCAUUUGAAGAUAGCUUGCUCCACAAGAGCAGUCAUUGUUGCUUAGAACUGACCCAAAAAGUCAGUCUUUGAUAUCACACCUCAUAAGCCAGAUCUUCCCACCAGCACUAGUGGGUCUGAUGUGAGGCUCACACAGGAUAUAGGUUGGAGAGGGCUUUGUUUUCUAGCAGUAAAGGGGAAGUGGCUCCCUAGAGCAUGGUUUGUAGCCUGAGCUAGAAAACAAAACCAUUUUAUGUUUCUUUCUUUACAAAUUGAGGCGCGUUAUCCAAACUGUGAUGACGCUGUCACCAAGUCACCAGCUUAUUACAAAUAUGAUCAGGGGUGCCAACUGCUUAGAAACUCUCAAUUGCUUUGCAUUAGCUUUAAGGUAGCGUCCAAAAUUCUUACUAUGGUCUCAGGAGUUCCCGUCGUGGCUCAGUGGUUAACGAAUCCAACUAGGAACCACGAGGUUGUGGGUUCAAUCCCUGGCCUUGCUUAGUGGGUUAAGGAUCUGACAUUGCCAUGAGCUGUGGUGUAGGUCGCAGACGCGGCUCGGAUCCCGAGUUGCUGUAGCUCUGGUGUAGGCCGGCAGCUACAGCUCCAAAUGGACCCCUAGUCUGGAACCUCCAUAUGCCGAGGGAGUGGCCCAAGAAGUGGCAAAAAGACAAAAACAACAACAACAAAACAAAAACAAAAUUCUUACUAUGGUCUGGGGGGCCCUACAUGAUCUGGUCUACAUCCCAUAUCUUCAGCCUCAUCACCUUGCACGUUACUUCCAGACCUAGUGGGCCUGUCUUUGGCCUGUUCAGUGAUCCUUUAACUUGCUAAUUUACAUAACACUCCUGGGCCUUCGCGCAUUCUGCUUCUAGAAGUGCUUUCCUUCCCUUCUCUGUCACUUCAUUUAUAACCUCAUUCUUUGGGCUUCUAUGGUAAGACUUAUAUUGAAGCACUUGUCUGUAUCAAGAUCCCACUAUGAGUCCCAUUUUAUUCCUACUUAUACUCCCUGCAUGUAUUGUAGUUAUGCUAUCUUCUCUUCAAUGGCAUGAUUAUUUGUUUGUUUUCACCACUAAAUUGUCAGUUCCAUAAGGGUAGGAUGACGUCUAUUUUGUGACUCUAUCUUCAAGGCUCAAUAAGUAUUUAUUUAAUGGAUUAUUUUAUUUUAUUUCACUUUAUUGCUUUUUAGGGCUGCACCUGUGGCAUAUGGAAUUUCUCUGGCUAGGGGACGAAUCAGAGCUGUAGCUGCUGGCCUAAGCCACAGCCACAGCAACACGGGAUCUGAGCUGUGUCUGUGACCUAAGCCACAGCUCAUGGCAACACCGGAUCCUUAACCCACUGAGGGAGGCCAGAGAUCAAACCUGAAUCCUCAUGGAUACUAGUUGGGUUUGUUACUGCUGAGCCACAAUGGGAACUUCCUUCAUGAAUUAUUGAAUAAAAAUGAAUGACUAAAUGAAAUAAUGACACUUUCCCUCAUUUCUCCUAUAAGUUCAGAUAAUGUCAGACUGGAACACUUUUGGGAGCAUUUGUUUUGGGCUAAUUUCUGGUGCUUUCUCUUUUGUACAAUUCAGGCAGGAAUUGUUUUUCAUAGGAAAUCAUGGCUGACGUGAUUCUGUCUCUGAUUUUUGCCUACUGCGGGGGCUUCUGCUUUGGAUAUUUUAUCUGAUAUAGUUGUCAUUUCAAGGCCACUUCUACAAGUGGUAAACCCUGGGUCAGCUGCCUGUUCCUCAUUAAAGUGGUGGCCAUUCCUUUUCCAAGAACAGACCAGAACGGCUUUGCUAAUCCUAGAGCUCUGAGUAUGGGGGGAUCUUGUAUGUGGGGGAUCUUGUAUGUGGGGAUCUUGAGGGUGGAAGGCACUUCAACAGGUAAGUCCAGCACAUCCUUGAAAGAGUUUAUAUUGCUGGAUUCUGGCUCCAAAUCCUGUCUUCACUGGUUUCAAGAUGGGAGAGGCCAUUACUUGGAUGAAGGAGAUUCAUUUGUGGAGAUCAAAUCAAAGAGGUAUUUGGAACAGGGGUAGAGAUAGAAGUCAGGGACCAUUUCCAAAGAGAAGUGAUCUUUGUGCUGAUUCUAGAUCGAUGGUUGAGUUAGCUCCAUGGGAAUGUGUGACAAGGGGUAAGGGUGGGGCGGAGGGCAUGUGCAAAGGUCUUGGAGAGAUGUUUGGUGAAAAGCUGAACCAAAUCUCUAGAAAAUUUAGGUAGUGACCCUUAAAAAGGUUGGUCCUCGCCCUAUAUCUUAGAUUUGAAUUAGCUAGGUAACUGCUUCAAUUUCGUGGCUGAUAUUUUCCUAGUUUGAUCUAUAACCAAACAUAGAUUAUUUGUCUUAAAUUUAGGUAGGGAAAUAAGAAUGCCAUGUGAAUUAUAUUCCUUUCUUAGUAGCUGUUUAUCAAGGGGUAUGUGUGUAUGUGUUUACACUCAUUUUUUUGGUCUUGCCCCGACAUAAAUAAAGAUUGCUGGGCUUGUUUAUGGUAAGAGCUAUGAGAUUCCAGAUUGCUGCUAAUGGUGACUUUGUAGCUAGCGAAGAGGAGCAGGACCUGCAAGAAGGAGCUCAAAUUUUGAAGUUCAUGGCCUGGGGACAAGGAUCAACUUUGCAUUUACUGACUUAUGACUUUAGACAAGUGACUUACCUCUCUAAGCCUCAAUUAUUCCCCCCCCCCCGCCUUGGGGUUAUAAUAAAAUUAUUUGCCUCAUUUAUCUCAUAGGAUUAUUUAUAUGAUGUAGUUUAUAUGAAAGAACUGCAAAAAUUAUGAAGCUCUUGGUAAAUAUGAGUCAUUAUGGUUAUAGAAUAAAUGUACCCUUAAAAAAAUGUGACAGGAUUCCUGUUGUGUCUUAGCAAUAACAAAGCUGACUAGUAUCCAUGAGGAUGUGGGUUUGGUCCCUGGUCUCGCUCAGUGGGUUGGGUAUCUGGCGUUGCUGUGAGCUGUGACGUAGGUCACAGAUGGGGCUCGGAUCUGGCUUGCUGUGGCUGUGGCUGUGGCCAGCAGCUGCAGCUCCAAUUGGAGCCCUAGCUGGGGAACUUCCAUAUGCCUCAGGUGCGGCC
Molecule: long non-coding RNA, 6503 nt
Filed under: Sus scrofa (pig)
Lineage: Eukaryota; Metazoa; Chordata; Mammalia; Artiodactyla; Suidae
Description: lncRNA (ENSSSCG00000058085.1)
Source: RNAcentral